Long non-coding RNA from Bos indicus x Bos taurus (hybrid cattle), 1923 nucleotides. The record is from Ensembl. Lineage: Eukaryota; Metazoa; Chordata; Mammalia; Artiodactyla; Bovidae.
ACCAGCUCUUGUCUCAAUGAUAAGACAGUGUUGACUUCCAAAUUUUUUUAAUCAAAAUCAAGACAAGAACAAUGUAUUUAAUAAUUAGAAAAGGGGACAGAUCUGCAAAAGACUAGUCAAGUGCAGUAGUGAGAAGGGGGGAAGAGUAGAACGAGGAGUUCGAUCUGUAACUGACUGUGAACAAUCAAUUGAGAUAACUCACUACCUUCGGACCAGCCAAUGUACAUUGCAGCCGCCUACAGUACUUAAAGCUCAAGUAUUCAUUCACUUUUACCUUACAGUGAUAUUUCAGUUGGCAUCUAUAAAGUACAACACUUGCAAUAUGAAUAAUAUGCACCUCUUAACACACACACCCCCGCCCCGAGAGCACCUAUUUAUCAAAAAAUAACAGAAAUGUGUUUAAUGACAAGAAUCAGAAGCACUGCUGAGCAUCCUGGGAAAGAAACAUGCAAAAUUAGCAUCUCGUCACUAGGGCGUGUCUCAGUCCCGUUGGUCGGGGGAGGCUCAGCUGUCCAAUCAGCGCUGACCUCCUUUGUCUGUUUCCCACACGUGACCGGCGAGACCGCUCAGCGAAGUCUGUAGAAAGCUGUGAGCCGGAGCUGAUGAAGUCUUGUGCCUCCCCACGUCUGUAAAUCCAGGCGGAGCCACCACACCCUGGAAGCAGCACUCUCGCAUCUUGGAGUCGGCUCCCUCCAGAAGGGCAGAGGUGUUUCCGGAUGACUCAAGAUCUGCCCCUCCUCCUUAAAUCCCAAGUGACUAAAAAAACAAACAAACCUGAGACCACCACAGGGAUGGGAAGACAAGCCUCUGAAACACCCAAACAUAUUGGGUGCUUCUGAGGAUUUCAGAAUUUGAAAAGGUCAAAAGACAGAAGCCGAAGGUCAGAAGUGAGGAUGACGAAGCGAAGGCAAGAGGGACAGAUUUCUGUAAAAGCCUCAGAGAGGCAAAACUCAGAAGGACCUGAAAGUUCACCCCAAUGCAAAGAACAGCACAAGGACUGCGGAAAUGCGUCUGGGACAGCCAGGUAUACCACCGAGACAGUGACCGUUGAACGUUCCUUCCUCAAAACUCGUGCAAAACACAACUCAACUGACCCAAGUCAUUGUGCCAUUUUCUUCUGAAACUGGAGCAGUUGUGGGAAAAAGAAGAGGUGACAGAGAUGCUCUAGCUGAGAUGCGACAGCUGAUGAACCAAACAGGCUAACUGUAAAAAGACGUUGUUUGAGAAAAGUGGGGAAAUCCGGACAGGUACUGGAUGAAGUACUGCUUAUUUUCGUGACUGUGAUAAGGCACUGAGGUUCUGUAGGAAAAUGCUUUCUCAAAUGUGUCGGGAUGAAAUGACAUAUCCUGGCUGUGUCAUUAAAAGAGGGGAUAUGAAAAUGUAGCCCUUGGAGUUGCAAAGAGUUGGACACGACCUAGUGACUGAACAAUGAAAAUGUAGCAAGAUUUUUGUAAUUGUUUUAGGUGGAUGAUGAGUAAAGGGCAUUGAUUAUAUAAUGCUCUUCCUUUCUGGUGUAUGCUUGAGAAGUUUCCUAAUUAAAUAACAAAAAAGUUGAUUCAGACCCUGGAUGUGAUACCCAUCUUCUCAGGUCCACUCACUCACCCGCCCCAGCUCCUGCUGGCCCCCGACUGUUAGAGCCACUCGGUCCCAGAGCAGCCUCGCUCCUUGCAGCAGGCCCUGGCUCCCCUGCUGCGACUGCACUGGCUUUUCUGUAAGGGAUAUGCCCCAUUUUGGGGUGGGGCACAAACCCCAGGUCUACCUUUGCAGACACGCACCCUCUUCCCUCCUUCAGCUGUAAAGUGAGCACAAGGGCGUCUCCCUCACAGAUCACUGAAGUGGGAUAUCCAGCAAACUGCUAGACACAGGGCCUGGCUUUGCUAAAUGUCCAAUAAAUAUUACCUAUGACUCCCGCGAUUACUUGAU